AAAAAGAAACCAGAAAAGAAAUGG
Molecule: ribosomal RNA, 24 nt
Filed under: Stereophaedusa hiraseana
Lineage: Eukaryota; Metazoa; Mollusca; Gastropoda; Stylommatophora; Clausiliidae
Description: Megalophaedusa hiraseana partial 5.8S rRNA
Source: RNAcentral